UUAGAGUUUGAUCCUGGCUCAGAUUGAACGCUGGCGGCAGGCCUAACACAUGCAAGUCGAGCGGUAACAUUUCUAGCUUGCUAGAAGAUGACGAGCGGCGGACGGGUGAGUAAUGCUUGGGAACAUGCCUUGAGGUGGGGGACAACAGUUGGAAACGACUGCUAAUACCGCAUAAUGUCUACGGACCAAAGGGGGCUUCGGCUCUCGCCUUUAGAUUGGCCCAAGUGGGAUUAGCUAGUUGGUGAGGUAAUGGCUCACCAAGGCGACGAUCCCUAGCUGGUUUGAGAGGAUGAUCAGCCACACUGGGACUGAGACACGGCCCAGACUCCUACGGGAGGCAGCAGUGGGGAAUAUUGCACAAUGGGCGCAAGCCUGAUGCAGCCAUGCCGCGUGUGUGAAGAAGGCCUUCGGGUUGUAAAGCACUUUCAGUCAGGAGGAAAGGUUAGUAGUUAAUACCUGCUAGCUCUGACGUUACUGACAGAAGAAGCACCGGCUAACUCCGUGCCAGCAGCCGCGGUAAUCUCCAGGCACACGCCGAGGCCCUUUUCCC
Molecule: ribosomal RNA, 550 nt
Filed under: uncultured Pseudoalteromonas sp.
Lineage: Bacteria; Pseudomonadati; Pseudomonadota; Gammaproteobacteria; Alteromonadales; Pseudoalteromonadaceae
Description: bacterial SSU rRNA
Rfam family: Bacterial small subunit ribosomal RNA
Source: RNAcentral